GCAAGGAGAGCUGCUGCAGCAAGUCAGGAAAACUCCAGUUGCAUGAAGAUUGAGCGCUUGCAGUUUGCAUCUUUGUUGCAAAACUCGCUCCAGACGAGAGGCAAGGCAAAGUCUUUUGUGCUUCCCCUCCCCCCAGCAAAGCAAAGGGGAAAAUGUCUCAGGCGAGAGUCAGGACAGAUAAAAGGGUGUCGAAGAGCAGAUGCGUUCGCUGCCGUAGAUCUGCAUGCAAAAUGGGCACAAUGCAUGCGAAUUGCAGCUGAUUGCAAGCGCGGAAUGAAAUGAAACUUUUAAAGAAGUGCGGGGAGGAGAUGAAAGGUGAAACUUGAGUGGAGUUACCAGGAAUUAAAUAUAUACCUAUGUUUCCAUGGGAAAGUAUUGUUCUUGUGCCAGGACUGAGAUCAUUUUCCACCGAUUUCUCCCCCCCCCCCCCCCCGCCUUAAUAUUUGGUAACUUUUGGUCAGAGGCAGCAAUGUGGUUUGUAACACCAGAUCGCUGAGAGCAUGCAGAAGGGCUGCUUUAUUUAGAAUUUAGGAGCAGGGGCUCGGCACUUGGGAUGGAGCGGGAGGGGCGUGUUUGGGUAGGGGACAACAGUGAUUUGAUUUUUUUUUGGAUUUUUUUUUUUUUUGCCAGCGUGGUGGGGAAAGCUUGAUCUUUGCUUUUUAACUUGAUGAUUAUUCCGGCGUGGCUCUGCCUUGUGUCCUGCAAGGGGGUGGUGGGAGGAGGUGGAGAAUUUAAUAUUGCAAAAAUGCUGUGGGAAUGCAAUAGUCCCUGCAAGACCAGGCUGAGAUGUUUAAGGAGGAGUUGCUCCGGCCAUUCAUUGUGAAAAUAGAUGCACAUAUAUGUCAGCGAUUGGCCACACAGAUGCAGCUUUUGGAGCUUCUUUUAAAUGUUUGGAUUUGAUGUUGCAGCUUGCUUCUUGCAUUUUGCAGCCCUCGCACAUAUGGGGUUUUGGGGGGGGGAGAGACAGUGCAUGGCCCGCUGGGAGAGCAGCUCCCAAACUGGGACUGAGGCUUUUUUGUUGUUGUUGUUGUUUUUAAAAAAACAAACCCAAGACAUCUGUGAAGUCCGUGGCCUUCCACUAUAAGCCUUGCUGGGAGGACAUAGGAAGGAGGUGCCUUCACAGCUCUUGCCACACAGUUUUUCCUUUGUAAGAAAAAUGUAAAGUUGUUGUAUAAUUUAUUCCUAAUUUGGGUUUGCUGCAGUCAUCUUUUCCAGCCAAGCAGAGAAUUGUAAAAGUUUCCAAUAGAAAGAGCCAAGGGAGUUUGAUAAUGCAA
This 1274-nucleotide long non-coding RNA is filed under the name Buteo japonicus. Its description in RNAcentral is "lncRNA (ENSBJAG00000016451.1)". Lineage: Eukaryota; Metazoa; Chordata; Aves; Accipitriformes; Accipitridae. The record is from RNAcentral.